CGCUGCAUGUAUGUACAUAUUUGCAAAUAUGCAUUACCUAAUGCAAUUUUAUGGCACUCGUCCACAUGGGGAAUUCUUUGUACGUUGACAUGAAUACGUCUACACCGAACCCUUUGUUCUCGGAUUGAUAACAAAUAAGCUAUGUAUUGCGUCUGAUUUACGUAUAAAUAUGACAGCUAUAACGAACGUCGAUCAUUGCAGACAUUAAGCUUGCAACAUGAAGUUCUAUACGCUCUUCGCUUUCGUGCUAGCCAUGCUGGCUAUGGCAUUUGCUAUUCCUAAUCCUGAGCUCCGACCCAUUUCUGAGCUAUAUCCUGGCGGCGGUGGCGGUGGUGGAGGAGGAGGUGGCGGCGGUGGUGGCGGAGGUGGUGGUGGUAAAUAAGGCAGUCAGAGGAUGGUUUAUAUUUGUCUUUAAUUUUUUUUGGAAAGCGAUUAUAUUACUUUAAAACAUUUAUAUAAUAAACAACAUAAUAAAUACAUA
Molecule: long non-coding RNA, 481 nt
Organism: Bactrocera neohumeralis
Lineage: Eukaryota; Metazoa; Arthropoda; Insecta; Diptera; Tephritidae
Exons: 2
Source: RefSeq, a predicted model, not a curated record